Molecule: long non-coding RNA, 1102 nt
Organism: Brachypodium distachyon (stiff brome)
Lineage: Eukaryota; Viridiplantae; Streptophyta; Magnoliopsida; Poales; Poaceae
Exons: 4
Source: RefSeq, a predicted model, not a curated record
CCUAAGAUAGACUCACUGACUGAUUACAUUGUCGUUUUCAAGUAAACUUUCCGUGUUUGACUGCGCGUCAUGCAGCCGCAGUCAUGUGGGACGGGGUUGGCGGUAGUUUUGGUGUCAAGCUUUUGUCGGAUAUAUCAUUGAUCCACCUUUCAUGCAAGUCACCGGAUAUCCACCGCCAUUAAUUCCCCCCUCGCAACCUUGCGACGAUGUUGAACUUCCGUAAUCCGUGUUGAACACGGAGCUCGACAGAUUUAAGAUCGCAAUGCCCUUCUAUACAUCCUUGUCACAAAUCAAAAGCUUGAGUGUAUGGUUGCAUCUCUUCUCCCAGAAUGGAUAAGGAGAAGAAAACCCACCCAUAAAUGCCAAGGUGACAUGGUCUGCCUGCUACGCCGACUUAUUAUUGAGCCGUUUGAUCAAAGAACACAACUGCUGAGAGUUCAUGAGCGAAAAGCAUGCUCCUGUGCAGCCCUCUCUUAUCCUCCGUUCAUGGGUUGGUUAUCAUUGACCUGAUAGAGAUACGCGUCCCACUUGUUAAAUCCGAGCACGGAAGAUUGCACAAGAGAGUGACACAUGACCAUAUGCUCUUCCUGCCGUCCAAUUCAGAUCGGAUCUGGAAGAUGGAAAUGGUCUCGAAAAAAAAGAUCUGAAAGAUGGAGUUGCUAGCUAGGAGCCUUCUCUAACAGAUAUGAUCUCUGAGAAUGCGUGGAUAAGAACAAGGGACGAUAAGAAUUCCCGGUAGGAUGGAGCUGUGGGGGAAGUAACCGAAGAUCGCAGCUUUUGGGUACGGAAAGAAAUUGCGUGAGGCAAGCUGCUAGCAAGCCGGAUACAGUUGGAUGAAGCAUGUGCCUUAUCCAGCACCAAACACUUCCACAUGUAUGCAUAUAUAUUAUUUUUUCUUAAAGACAUGUGUAUAUCCUUUUGCCUACCUCUACUCUUUGUGUUUGAGCAUGGUGCUGUGUUAAAGAAUGGCGGCAGUUGUUGAAUCAUGUGGCAUGGACGGGAUAAGAUGAGGUCUUGGGUGUCGAAAUUUGUCGUCUGAGUUGCUCAAAUAGAUCUAUUGAUUAAGAAAUGUCCCCUGUUAUAUCAAGGUUCCAUUGGAUAC